This is a long non-coding RNA of Nerophis ophidion (straightnose pipefish), 853 nucleotides long. RefSeq lists it as uncharacterized. The transcript has 3 exons. Lineage: Eukaryota; Metazoa; Chordata; Actinopteri; Syngnathiformes; Syngnathidae. The record is from RefSeq and is a predicted model, not a curated record.
GAAGCGGAAGUAGACGCCACACGCCACCCGGAGCACCUGACAGCCCCAGCGUUUUUUUUUUUUUUACUACAGAGCCACUUUAUGGAAGUAUCCUCAUUUUUUGACUGUUUUGUGACUUACCAUUGGCCUGUGGAGAAACUGGACACCACAGACUCUUACCAGGAGGACUUUUGAGUUGGAUGUGUAGACGCGUUACCACACACAUCUGGAGGACAGAUGUGGAGUCCCAAAGCUUGGGUCUCUGCCUCGCUCGUCCCCGUGUCAUUUUCCCUCUCUCUCUCUCUCCCUCUCUCUUUGGGAAACAUGAGAGCCGGGCUAAUUCCCCCUCACUCCCUCCCACAAGGCCGGACCACCCACAUUCGGAAACGCCUAGCUGUUUCCCGAGGAAGAGCCCGGAGCCCAAUGAGAAGGAGAGAUGAGGAGCGUCUGGCAGCGUGCACCAGAAGUCCUCUGUGGAGAUUAUGUAGCGCACACCGCAGCCAUCUUUAGACGCUCGCCAUCCUCCAGUGAGUUGCCAUCACCAGUAAACACCAUCAAUCACGACUUACCUUCUGACUUGACACCGCUGGAGUCCAUCACCCUAACCUUGGUGACCUGAAAGAAAAAUAACAUUUACUUACAAUCGAGUUCGGUUUUCACACGGCCCAGCAUUGCCUCAAAAAUUUUUUCAUAGACCAUCUUGACUAUCAUGUGGCUACAAACAUGACGUCCCCAUUUUGCCUGCGUGUAGUUCUGCAUAAUUGAUAUAAUAUAGAAAAUGUAUAUAUGUCCAUACAAGUAUAUACAUAUGUAUAUAUAUGUAUGCAUACAUAUUAGUAUUGUAUUUGUAUUAUAAUAUGUGUGUGUAUAUAUA